GACGAACGCUGGCGGCGUGCCUAAUACAUGCAAGUUGAGCGCUGAAGGUUGGUACUUGUACCGACUGGAUGAGCAGCGAACGGGUGAGUAACGCGUGGGGAAUCUGCCUUUGAGCGGGGGACAACAUUUGGAAACGAAUGCUAAUACCGCAUAAAAACUUUAAACACUAGUUUUAAGUUUGAAAGAUGCAAUUGCAUCACUCAAAGAUGAUCCCGCGUUGUAUUAGCUAGUUGGUGAGGUAAAGGCUCACCAAGGCGAUGAUACAUAGCCGACCUGAGAGGGUGAUCGGCCACAUUGGGACUGAGACACGGCCCAAACUCCUACGGGAGGCAGCAGUAGGGAAUCUUCGGCAAUGGACGAAAGUCUGACCGAGCAACGCCGCGUGAGUGAAGAAGGUUUUCGGAUCGUAAAACUCUGUUGGUAGAGAAGAACGUUGGUGAGAGUGGAAAGCUCAUCAAGUGACGGUAACUACCCAGAAAGGGACGGCUAACUACGUG
Molecule: ribosomal RNA, 497 nt
Filed under: uncultured bacterium
Lineage: Bacteria
Description: partial 16S ribosomal RNA
Rfam family: Bacterial small subunit ribosomal RNA
Source: RNAcentral